UGAGGAAUAUUGGUCAAUGGGCGAGAGCCUGAACCAGCCAAGUAGCGUGCAGGAUGACGGCCCUAUGGGUUGUAAACUGCUUUUAUGCGGGGAUAAAGUGAGGGACGUGUCCUUCAUUGCAGGUACCGCAUGAAUAAGGACCGGCUAAUUCCGUGCCAGCAGCCGCGGUAAUACGGAAGGUCCGGGCGUUAUCCGGAUUUAUUGGGUUUAAAGGGAGCGUAGGCCGUGGAUUAAGCGUGUUGUGAAAUGCAGGUGCUCAACGUCGGCACUGCAGCGCGAACUGGUCCACUUGAGUGUGCGCAACGCAGGCGGAAUUCGACGUGUAGCGGUGAAAUGCUUAGAUAUGACGAAGAACUCCGAUUGCGAAGGCAGCUUGCGGGAGCACAACUGACGCUGAAGCUCGAAAGUGCGGGUAUCGAACAGGAUUAGAUACCCUGGUAGUCCGCACGGUAAACGAUGGAUGCCCGUUGUCAGGCUGUUUCAGCCUGGUGACCAAGCGAAAGCAUUAAGCAUCCCACCUGGGGAGUACGCCGGCNACGGU
Molecule: ribosomal RNA, 541 nt
Filed under: uncultured bacterium
Lineage: Bacteria
Description: bacterial SSU rRNA
Rfam family: Bacterial small subunit ribosomal RNA
Source: RNAcentral